GCCACUACCUGGGUUUGGCAGGAUGUUGGGGAGUGACUAGAGGCACAUCUGACAGGUGUAGGGGGCCAAAGGAUGUGUGCUCCCAGCUCUGACUCCUCUAUGAGCAUUGUACAUCUGGGGUAAUCGAACACUGACACCCACCCACCACCCAGAACUCAGUAAAGCCAGUACGUCCAUAAAAGAUCUCACACAAAGGACCCUGUGCGCAGGAGCUCAGAGACCUGCAUCUUAGGCUCCUGCUGGCUGCUUCCAAUUCGGCCUUAGAUUUAAACUAAAAUUCAGUGAUUUACUGACAGUUUUCAUUCUAAGAUUCAGUCCCAAAAUGUUUUGAGAUGAGGGCAAAGCUUAGAUGGCUUGUGGAUUGUUUUCCUUUAUGAUAGUGAUUGGUGCAGUAGGGUGAAGGCAUUUCCAGUAGGGAUGGAGAGCUCUGCCUGUAAUGGGGCAGCCCUCCGGGCACAGCAGCUGUCUGCCCCAGGGCAGAGCCUGGGCUCUUCAGGCAGUGACACCUUCCUCCACCUUGCGGGGAGCCCUGCAGCUGCUCAAAUAUGCUUGCUGUGUGCCUUAAAGGGAGUGGGUUGGCCUAUUUACCCACUUGGCCCGGGUUGGCCAACACCUGAAGGAUAGGUGCCAUUCCUGAGCAAGGACCCUACGUGAAGCUGAGGCACUCAUGGGAAUAGGCCUGUUGGGGACCACAAACCCACAGUGGCUAGUUUUACACACUUCUCUAAGGAAUAAAAGGAGGCUUGAGUUAUCGGUAUCACCCUUUCCAAAUCAUCAGAUUCUGCAUCUUCCAGGUGAGAUUUCCCAUUAUCUGAUUAGGGGUGGGCCAUCUUCUCCCACCUACUAAGACUAAAACCACUGACUAAAGAGGCUCCAUGGCAAGAUCCUUCUUAGCAUAAGACCACCUCCACCCUGAGUCAUCCAAUAAUACCCUCAAUCAGGGAUCACUGAAUUGGCCUUUUGUUCCUAGUGAACAACUGGUCAGCCCAGAUCCCCAAUGUAUUGCCAUCUGUCUCUUAACUUUCUCUCUUUCCAUGACACCUAGCAGGGGACUGAGGUUCACUGCAGGUGUGAAAUGUGGCCUGAACCCUAGUGUUCUCACCUGCCUGUUAGCUUUACCAGGACUCUUGUGACAGCCUUCAGAGCUGCGCUAUGAUUCCAGAGACACCUGGUGCAGAGCUGAGGAAGUAUGAACUGUGAGUUUGUGGUCCCCAGUACGGGCCGGUCCUGGAACCCUCACUACAUCUGCACGAGCCCCAGGAGCUGCAAAUGUUGCCUCGGCUUACCUGAGACCAAAUGCACGAUGGCAGCUGGAAGCAGAAGGCAAGCAAUCAAGCCCACACCCUUCCUUCCUCCACCCCAGGGAACCAGAUGCAAACCAACAUCUGAGUGGUCUCUCACAAGACAAUGCAAAAGUAAGACAGUAUCCUGACAAGACAUGAAACCCUUCACAUAACGGGGAAGGUAAGACAACCACUUCUCAGUGGUGUGAAGAAAGCUUUCAACACAAGGCAGCUCAGACUGUCAUUCUAGAAUUCCAGUGGUGAGGAGUCCCACUCCAAACCCUUCAAAGAGGAGGAUCUCCUUUGAACAGACCGUGGAUGGAGGAUGAGUUAUCAGAGUUCUAAGAAAACAACCUGAACUAGCACUAAAGUGCGAUAGCACCAUAAGAUGUACUUGCUGCCCAUAAACAGCCACCUUAUCACAACACAGCAUCACUUCAAAUCACUAGACAAACAUUAGAAAAAUGAGAAGUGAAUCAGACAGUGAGAUAUGGAUGUCAGCACAAAAACCAAUGUGAACUGUUAUGAUCAGUAACCUAAGAGAAACCUCCCAGAUUAAUUCUGCAUGCCAUGGCCCUGGGAAGUAAAUGUGCACUGAGUUCCUGACCUGCUUGUUAAAAGAUUUUAGAAUGUUGAUUGGGGGGGGGUGUUAAAAUAUUAGCAUGGUGGUGCAUGCCUCUAAUUCCAGCACUUGGGAGGCUGAGGCAGGAGGAUCUUUAUGAGCUUGAGACUAGCCUGGGUUACAAAGUGAGCUCAAGGCCAGCCUGAACUACAUAAUGAGACCCUGUCUCAAUAAGACAAUAAAAGAGAACGUUAAAGUACCAAGACUUACAACUUCCAAAAUAGGUGACGAACAGGUGAAAUGAAGAAAAGUCGGCCAGAUGUGGUGUUGCAUGCCUUUAAUCUCAACACUUGGGACGCCACGGCAGGAGCACUGCUGUGAGUUCCAGGCCAGUCUGAACUGCAUGGUGAGAGCCUGUCUCAAAAAAGUAAAAAACUGAGAAAUAUAAAAGCCUGAAACAUGGUCAAUAAAGAACAUGCUAUGAGUGGUGGGAAUAAAAUCAGACACUUGAGUAAUCAGAGAAAUGUGAUUGAAUUAAUUUAUUUGUAAACAAUCACUUGCAUUUAAGAUUGGAAUCACAAUAUUAUUAAAUACUUUUAUAAGACAUA
Long non-coding RNA from Cavia porcellus (domestic guinea pig), 2453 nucleotides. RefSeq lists it as uncharacterized. Lineage: Eukaryota; Metazoa; Chordata; Mammalia; Rodentia; Caviidae. The transcript is spliced from 2 exons. The record is from RefSeq and is a predicted model, not a curated record.